GACGAACGCUGGCGGCGUGCCUAAUACAUGCAAGUAGAACGCACAGUUUAUACCGUAGCUUGCUACACCAUAGACUGUGAGUUGCGAACGGGUGAGUAACGCGUAGGUAACCUGCCUGGUAGCGGGGGAUAACUAUUGGAAACGAUAGCUAAUACCGCAUAAUAUUGAUUAUUGCAUGAUAAUUGAUUGAAAGAUGCUAUUGCAUCACUACCAGAUGGACCUGCGUUGUAUUAGCUAGUAGGUGAGGUAACGGCUCACCUAGGCGACGAUACAUAGCCGACCUGAGAGGGUGAUCGGCCACACUGGGACUGAGACACGGCCCAGACUCCUACGGGAGGCAGCAGUAGGGAAUCUUCGGCAAUGGACGAAAGUCUGACCGAGCAACGCCGCGUGAGUGAAGAAGGUUUUCGGAUCGUAAAGCUCUGUUGAAAGAGAAGAACGGGUGUGAGAGUGGAAAGUUCACACUGUGACGGUAUCUUACCAGAAAGGGACGGCUAACUACGUG
This 505-nucleotide ribosomal RNA is filed under the name uncultured bacterium. Its description in RNAcentral is "partial 16S ribosomal RNA". It matches the Rfam family "Bacterial small subunit ribosomal RNA", at positions 28 to 507 of the family's 1533-position model. The record is from RNAcentral.